CCUACGGGAGGCAGCAGUGAGGAAUAUUGGUCAAUGGACGAGAGUCUGAACCAGCCAAGUAGCGUGAAGGAUGACUGCCCUAUGGGUUGUAAACUUCUUUUAUAAAGGAAUAAAACGAGGCACGUGUGCCUUUUUGCAUGUACUUUAUGAAUAAGGAUCGGCUAACUCCGUGCCAGCAGCCGCGGUAAUACGGAGGAUCCGAGCGUUAUCCGGAUUUAUUGGGUUUAAAGGGUGCGUAGAUGGGUAGUUAAGUCAGUUGUGAAAUUUUGCGGCUCAACCGUAAUAUUGCAAUUGAUACUGGCAGUCUUGAGUACAGUUGAGGUAGGCGGAAUUCGUGGUGUAGCGGUGAAAUGCUUAGAUAUCACGAAGAACCCCGAUUGCGAAGGCAGCUUACUAAACUGUGACUGACAUUGAUGCUCGAAAGUGUGGGUAUCAAACAGGAUUAGAUACCCGAGUAGUC
Molecule: ribosomal RNA, 460 nt
Filed under: uncultured bacterium
Lineage: Bacteria
Description: partial 16S ribosomal RNA
Rfam family: Bacterial small subunit ribosomal RNA
Source: RNAcentral